Non-coding RNA from Podarcis muralis (Common wall lizard), 2545 nucleotides. The record is from RefSeq and is a predicted model, not a curated record. NCBI's taxonomy places the organism in Eukaryota, Metazoa, Chordata, Lepidosauria, Squamata, Lacertidae.
GACUUUGCGGACUGCGGGUCCUCUGGUUUCCCCCUCGGAUUCUGCAUUUUCAAUAUGUGAAUAGCGGGGAGGAGGAGGAAGGCCAUGCGACUGACUAACUCCAAAAAGACUUACCAUCUUCCCCAAAUGAUGCUCCUUAAACUCUUCCCCACUUGGGCUAUCAGAUUCCACCGCAAACUCUCCCUGACCUGGAGAUACAGCAGCGAAACAAACACUUUGAAUGAGUCUCCUUGACUUUUCUGGGGGGUUUCUUUUCUUUCUUUUAAGUUGCAUUUUCAUUUCCGCCUGGGCAUUUGCAUUAUCAAAAGGAAGACAAAAGCAAUCCAGAGAGGGAAGCAGAUUUCCAAAUGCAUGUUCUCUCCUCUACUCUGAAAUGUGUUCAUUUGCAUCAAGCGCGGACAGGCGGAUUAUGCCAGAAAGUGACCCCGGCAGCGGCGUCACCAGGAGACAAUGGCGAAUUUUGGAGCUGUGUGUGGCGCAGCAGAAUUCAGGGGAACCAGCAGACAGAUGGCCUAGGCUGGGGAGUAGGGGGUCUGCCUGCUUCCCUGCCCGCCCUCUGGGUUGCCCUUUCAUUUCAGUGAGGCUCAGGCAAGGAGAACUUUCUCUUGGAUCGGCCUCGGAACACUGAGGGCUCCUCGUUUUACAAGCGCCACCUUGCAGAGAUGAGCGGAUAAGGUGGCAUAGAAGCGCAUUCAGACGGCUGCGCUCCUACUUACGCUUCUCUGUGCCCAUGCCUCACUGAGCUCACGCAGGCAUCUAUAGCAUUGUCCUAAAUAAAAUGAACCUAACCGCCAGUUUGAAACCACCCAGUUUCAAUUAGUUCACUGUUUAAUCUAAGAACUUUUUUCAAAGGCUGUUGUCUUAAAAGUGUUUGCUAGAUUGUUUUUACUUGGUGAAUUAUUGCCCUGCGGGGAUUCCAAAUUGGUCCAGGCUCCUACAUAACAAAAGAUGCGGCCAGUGGGGGCAGGAUUUCUCGCCCGCCGCGGCAGCCGCUGAAAAGGAAGAGUUCAAAACCCUCCAGAAAGAAAGAACUUUUCCGCAAGGACCACAAAGCUGGGCCGAGAGGUCCCAGCAGGAAAACAAAACAAAACAAAAAAUGUCGCCUCGCAUUCCACUGACUUUUUCGCAACCUGGUUGGCAAGCCCGAAUUGAACUAGCCUUCCCCUGCCGGCUUCGUCCCGACAACCUCCUAAUCUACUGGGAAGGGCUCUCUGCACCCGGGAGGACCGCCUCGCUGCCACCCCGAAGCGCUUCGAGGACGGAGAAGGGGCCUCCGUGGGGAAGCGGAGACCAGGCAGGCAGCUCUGCCGCGCACGGCUUCCUCUGAGAAGCAGAAGGAGUUUGAGCUUCCCAGAGCUGGUUUGGCCGUUACUCUCAAGCUUGCUGACAGAAGCUUAAAUCCUAGGAACUAGCAACCAAUGGAUUCAAAUGACAAGAAAGGAGAUUCCGACUUAACAUUAGGAAGAACUUUCUGACGGCAAGAGAUGCUCGGCAGAGGAACGGGCUCCUUCGGAAGGUGGUGGACUCUCUUUCAUUGGAGGAAGUACAACACAGAUUUCUUGGGGGAACGGCAACGACUUCUUUGUCUUGCUCCUCACAGGGCCGUUGUGUGGAAACUGAGUCAGGAGCAUGAUGAGCUGGGGGCUCAGAUGAACAUCUCAGAUCAACCAUGAACUCCUUCUGUGGCUUUGUGGGUAGUUUUCCCUUUGUACAGGUAUGUAUACAAGAAGCAAAGCAGGCAUCAAGCUGAGAGAACAUUUGACCAAGCCAGGCUCAUGGAGCUAGGAUGUCAGACCUUCCUGUCUCAGAGUCUGCAGCUCUGCUGUUGUUUUAUUUUUUUUACUGUAUAUAAGGACACCCAAUUGUUGGAUGGAUUUAAAUGAGUAGGAGAGGAUAUUUUAUUAGUAAUUAUACUUCCUCUUUCUCGCUUAUGUGAGAAUACAAAUAUCUAUUUCAGCAGAGUUAAAAAUCACCAUCCAUGUGCAGCUUACCUCUGGAUGCUAUUAGGACAAGGUUGCAUAACCUUCUGGAACAAUUGUGAUAUCCAAGGAUGCUUUAGGCAGACUUAGAUUAUCUCCUCCCUGUUUUAUGUUUAACAAAAAUGUCACUUUCAGACUGUUUAGUAAACGAAGUUUACUCACAUCAAAGGUCUUGCCAAGAUCCAACAGAUGAAAACCAGGCAAGAAACAAUCCUUAAAAUGUUACAGAUAUCCACAGUCCAGUUCAAAAUGGAGAUUGCUGUCUGGAGGAAAACAAAGAGAAGUCUUCUCCCAUUGCAGGUAGGAAAAGAGUGAGUGCAGGAAGGAAGAGAUAGGGAUUAAUGCAUUUUCUUUUUCCCGCCACCAGGUUUGCGGGUGUGACAUCACAGAGUCCCCUCUAUGCGUGGUCCCCUCCAUGGUGCCAUUGCCUCUGUUAGUGACCGUCUAGCCAUCAUGUGUUUGUGAUUUUGGCUGCACACCCUCCCACACCGAUACCAUUGUUCUCUGGGAAGCUCCCACACAAAAUGAUAAAACGCAAUUAAAAAAAAAUUAAUAUAUUAAGAUAA